GCAGGAGAGAGGUGCUGACAGGAGUUUUGACAGGCCCGCUGACAAAGCCAAAGAUGAACGAAACAAGGAUGAUCGUGGCAAGCUGCGGUACAGUGAUACAUCUAUGGAAAAAUCUCAUGGCGAUGAUCGAUUUUAUGGGCAAAACUUGCCACCUCCACCACCCUUGCCUCCUCAUGUGGUUCCCCAAUCAGUUAAUUCCAGUAGAAGAGAUGAAGAUGCUGACAGAAGGUUUGGAACUACCAGGCAUACUCAGAGGCUUUCUCCAAGGCAUGAGGAGAAAGAAAGACGACGCUCAGAAGAAAAUUCUUUGGUUUCACAAGAUGAUGCAAAACGUAGGAGAGAAGAUGAUUUUCGAGAUAGAAAAAGAGAAGAGCGAGAGGGGCA
Molecule: unclassified non-coding RNA, 384 nt
Filed under: Hevea brasiliensis (rubber tree)
Lineage: Eukaryota; Viridiplantae; Streptophyta; Magnoliopsida; Malpighiales; Euphorbiaceae
Source: RNAcentral